CAUGAAGCUGGAAUCGCUAGUAAUCGCGAAUCAGAAUGUCGCGGUGAAUACGUUCCCGGGUCUUGUACACACCGCCCGUCACACCAUGGGAGUUGGGAAUGCCCGAAGCCGGUGACCUAACCGAAAGGGAGGAGCCGUCGAAGGCAGGCUUGAUAACUGGGGUGAAGUCGUAACAAGGUAAC
RNAcentral lists this ribosomal RNA (182 nucleotides) under uncultured bacterium. Its description in RNAcentral is "partial 16S ribosomal RNA". It matches the Rfam family "Bacterial small subunit ribosomal RNA", at positions 1319 to 1500 of the family's 1533-position model. The record is from RNAcentral.